Alligator sinensis (Chinese alligator) is the source of this 2259-nucleotide long non-coding RNA. RefSeq lists it as uncharacterized. The transcript has 3 exons. The record is from RefSeq and is a predicted model, not a curated record. NCBI's taxonomy places the organism in Eukaryota, Metazoa, Chordata, Crocodylia, Alligatoridae.
GCAGAGUUUUGAUGCUGGGGUGGGGGGAAGGGAAGUUUUUUUUUCCUUUUCAAAAACACUCUUGGGAUUAUAGGUAAAUCCCUGAAGAUGAUCAACAGUAACAUGCUGAAGCCUUGGGAGGAGAGUUUUCAAGCUCUCUGGCCACAGCUGUAACUGGUAUAAUCAGUGGAGCUGCACUGAUUUAUCCAAGCUGAGGAUCUGACCCCAUUUUCAGCACGCAGUUUAGCUGCAGCUGGGGAUGGGCUGUCUCUCUCUCCACACUUAGAUGGGGCUCCUCACCAGGGCCCACAACUAAUCUAUGCGUAGGGGCCAGCAAACAGUUUUCAAGUCCCCGGGGCAGCUGCUCCCUGAAACAAACUCGGAGGUGUCCAUAAGUUUAAAUAGCUCGGAAAGAGCAAGCGGUGGCUCCAGGCGGGCACUGGAGCCCUGCCACGCUCAAGGCUGCAGUUUGGGCCUACAAGAUGCCGAGCGCCCCUAGCUCUUAUCGGUAACGGGAACAAAGGGCACCGCAGAGGCUCGCAGCAUCAACCUGUUGGAUGCCUACUGUAGGCAAAGGGGCGCUCUUCCCCACUCCCCGUGCCAUGGCAUCUAGGGCAGUUGACCUGUUGGGACUGCAAAGCUCUGCUACAAUGUACCUGUGUUGCCUACAGGUCCCUAGGGAGCCCCUGGCUCUUCCAAGGGGUGCCUCCAGCGUGCCGGCGGGGCCAAGCAUGUGUGCUCUUGUCGGGACUUGGCGCGAAGAGCAUGGGAAAAGGCAUUCGGUGAUCUGUGCCGCUCGGGAGCCCCGGGGGGAGAUCAGCAAACAAACAAGCAAACAAGCAAGCUGCAACGGCUGAUGCUGCUGGUGUUUAAUCACACAGCUCAGUGCUAAUCGGGAUCCAGCAUAAGCAGCGGGCAGGUGUUUCAGCCUUCCCUUCCCUGUUCAGGUUACUGCCGGACAAACAGAAGAGCACACCUCUAAAGGGGGCUGCGACCCCAGGGCCUGACCUGCCAGGACUUACCCACGCCAGCCUAGCUUUUCACACUAGACACAACCACGCUGCAGUAAGUUAAGAGGAGUGCAAGCCUUUGCAGGAUCAGGGCCUAAGUAACCCUUGCUGUAGGGCAGGCUCAGGCCAUGCUAAUGAGACUGCCUGUUGGUACACAGGUCUACACUAGUGCACAACUGCUGCCCAAGAUCGGUUAUAUGUUUGCACUGUAGUAAUACCGAGAAGCCCAAGUCAGGGACCAGGAUCCCAUUAGAUGAGUCUCUGAACAAGCACAGAAAGAAAGCACAUCCCCACCCCCCGUUACAAAUGCUUCUAAUGUCAAUGGCUUGAAAAAAAGGAGCCAAGCAAAUAUAUAACAUUGUGAAUACAUUUUUCCUCGGUAACUGAGGACUGAUUGACAGUUACCAAACCAGGGAGAGCAAUCUUGAUUUCUACUUACAACAAUUUAAGGGAAAAACCUCCGAGGACCUGCCUACACUGAUCUUGCAGCUGUGUUUAAGACAGUUUCUGCAAAACCAGUUUAUCACACACUUUUGCUGCCAGGUGGGGAUGGCUUUAGAAGGGUUUUGAAAGGACACCAGCAAUCUGAAAUGCACUCAGGUUUACAAACAGAGCUAAAAACCUACCACACUUUCCCUUCCCACUUUCCGAAUACCCUCCCAAUUUUUGCAGCUUGGAAUUGCUGUUUUUCAGCAUUGCUUUUUAUCCCCCGCCUCCUGCCACUCACUCCCCCCAAUGUGUUUCGAUUCCCAUGUUUCUGGGUGGAAAACCAUGCAAACUGAAAGAGGAAGUUGACAGAGUGCAGAAAGGUAACAAUAAAACCGACUUUGCCCAACCUGAUACCAAAUGCACAAGGGAAGCAACGUGAAAAAUAAAGACAGCUCUUCCUUCAUCUUUUCAGUUAUUGUGAGCUUGGAGGUUAUUCAUAGCGGGAGAUAAUCAAACGUCACUAAAAAAAAAAAAGAAAAGAAAAAGUUGUCUGUAGCCCUUUAAGAACACCCAAGACUAGAAUUCAGAGGUUAAAUUCAAAUGUAAGCUGAACAAUUUAAAAAAAUAAUAAUAAUUGUACCUAGCACUGGCUAAAAUGUUUCUGUGGAGCAGUUUUUCAUCCAAAAAAAGCAGUUUCGUUGCAAGCAAAAUGUUUUGCAGGAGAGUGCCAAUUUCAAUUGUUUGCAACAGAAUUUUUUCAAAACAAAUUGUUGCGACAGUCUCAUUUAAUUAAUGUCAAAACAUUGCUUAGACCCCCCCAACACACUUCAUUUUUUUUAAU